Long non-coding RNA from Fundulus heteroclitus (mummichog), 690 nucleotides. RefSeq lists it as uncharacterized. The record is from RefSeq and is a predicted model, not a curated record. The transcript has 3 exons. Lineage: Eukaryota; Metazoa; Chordata; Actinopteri; Cyprinodontiformes; Fundulidae.
AGGUGUAGCAUCAGCGCUCAUGGAGAGUCUCCAUCCAGCAGGAUCUCUGUCUCAGAAAAACCUACAACUACAAGUCCAUAUACACCCCCACCCUUCUUUACAUAUCCUCAUCCUGCCUCAGCUCCUCACUUUGUCUUCAUGCUGGUCUGCAAACUCGUGAUCUUCUGUCCCUUCUUCAUCUCCACUAUCCUCAUGGUGUCUCUGUAUCCACACAGAAUCACAGGAAAUGACCUACCCGUUGCCAUGGUGAUGACUCCACCCACCAAAGUCGAUCAGAGAUUGGACGAGGACUAUGAUGAUGUCACCACAGAGCAUCACUUCUGAACUGAUCAUCUCAUCACUCUUCUCCUCCUGGCUGUUUUCUUCUUCUCCCAGUUUGGAAAACUUCUGAACUCAUAAUAACGACUUCCUGAGAUCACCAACAUUUACUGACUGGGAAGAAGUGACCAUCUGAGCUGGACUUUACUCUAUAAGACUCUGGUUGAACUGGACUGGAUGCAAUUGUGUCUGAAUCAGACCAGAGGGGUUUGGAUGAUACUGAGCUUUAUAUAACUGCAUAGAAACUGGUUCUCUUUGUUUCUUAAUGCCUCUUCAAAUACGAUUAUAUACAUCAAUAAAUUGGUGAGAAAUAUUUUUAUCUGACCUUUACCCAUUUGGCAGUUUCUUGUUAAUUAAAAAUUUUACAUCUUG